AUAAAAAAUCUCGGUAUUAAUUAGAGUGGGUAAUACUAUUUAAACUUCUUCACCCCACCGAUGCGGGACAGUUUAACAUCUUGAUCAUCUUCUCCACUCCUCACUCUGUUAGUCCUAUACAAUUCAUCCAUCGCCUGGGGACUGACCUUGGGCUUUUCAGCUGCCAAGCAACUCCAGCAUCUGUUCUGAAUAAAAUCAAAGUUGUAAUUAAGGAGUUCGGUGAAAAUAAAAAAGAUGAUCAAGGUUGAAGUAAUUCACAAAGAAAUUAUUAAACCAUCCUCCCCAACCCCUCACCACCUUAGACAUUUGGGUCUCUCCCUUUUUGACCAGUUUAUACUUGAACUGUACAUGCCACAAGUUCUCUUCUAUCCUAGCAGCAGUGAUGAACAUUCUUUGGUUGCUGAAAAAUCCGAGCUUCUAAAGAAAUCAUUAUCUGAGGCCCUCACUGUCUUCUACCCUUUUGCAGGGGAAUUCAAAUAUAACGUUUCCAUCAACUGCGAUGACCGCGGAGCUCUAUUUCUUGAAGCCCGAGUCAACUGUCCCAUGUCCAAGAUCCUGGACAAACCCGAUUCUGAGAUCCUGAGACAGCUGAUUGCAGCUCCUAUGCGUUCCAAACAAGCACAAGUAGGGCAUCUUGUACUAAUCCAGGCCAACGUAUUCGAAUGUGGUGGAUUGGCAAUUGGCGUCAGCAUUUCUCAUAAGGUCGCCGAUGCCGUAGUGUACAGCAAAUUCAUCGAAAGCUGGGCUGAAAUUGCCCGCUGCACUGCCAGCACUACUGACCAUCACGUAGUACUUCCUACAGAAUUUGGUGUCGCAGCUACUUUGUUCCCACCACAAGAAUUUUUUAACUCACCGAAGACCCCACUCACGCUACCUUUUAUUGACAAUGUUAUCGGAAGGAGGCUUGUGUUUGAUGCCUCAAAGAUUGCUGCUCUCAAGGCCAAAGCUGCCAGUGCCACAGUGCCAAAUCCGACUCGAGUUGAAGCAGUUUCCGCGCUCAUUUGGAAAUCCGCAACGGAAGCAUCAAGAUCCAACUUGGGUUUUGCAAGGCCAUCCACAUGGCGGUCCGCUGUGAACCUGAGGAAAAUAUUGGCUCAGCCCUUCGCAGAAAACUUACAGGGAAAUUUUGUGUAUUUUACCAUGCCGAAGAUUGAAGAACAUGAAGUAUAUGAUCUUCAAACCUUGGUUGCAAAAAUGAGGAAAAGCGUUGAGGAACUUAAGGUAAAAUAUGCCAAAGAAAUUAGAGGGGAGGAAGUAGUUCAAUUCCUGAAGGAGUAUAGUGAGCUCGUUCAAAAGGAUGAUAUGGACAACUAUUUUUGCACCAGUUUGUGUGGGUUUCCUUUCGGCUCGGCCAAUUUUGGAUGGGGAAAGGCAUCAUGCAUACGUAUCCCUUGGAAUGAAGAUUUCAAAAACAGAAUGUUAUUGUUGGAUGCAAGUGAUGGCAUUGGCAUCGAUGCAUACAUAACACUGAAAAAAGAAGAUAUGGUCAUGAUUGAAACCAACCAGGACCUGCUUGCAUAUGCUUCUCUGCAUUAGACCAUUACUGAAAGGUAAAUCUCGUCUAAUCCUUCUCUAUAAUUACUUAAUAAAUAAAAGGUUUGCUUCCCCAAGUCAUUGGAGAUUCAAACUAUAAAUAUCUUUCAAAUGUCGGGAAAUAAAAUACAAUUAGACUAAGAGCUAGUUGCCAGUGUUCUUGAGCAUUUAGAGUUUGUUUGGAUACUAUGUUGUAACCUUUCGUGAUUUCUUUUGUUGCUUUUGAUUCCACAAUUUCCUUGUUUUGCGUGAACAGUGAGUAAUGUAUUGCUUUUACUAUCGACUUUAUUUUUCUUUCAAUAAAAUGGAUUUGUUUUAUUGCGUAUGCCUAAGAAAAUAUAGAUCCCUAACAAAAGAAAAUGAAAAGAGUGCUGAGAAUGCUUUUCUAUCAACAAAAAAAAAAAAGACAAAUUGACUAAGAAUGCUUUCAAGUAAUUUAAAACAAGGUUACAACACGUGUGAUAAUAUAAUGGACGAUUGGGUUGAUAAAUUCUAUUUUAAGUAGGACUCUUAUAAAACUGGUUCACCGCCACCCGAAAACCCCAAUUAUAUAACAAUGGCCCAAAACCUGCUGGAUAAAAGAGGCACGAUGAAUAAAGGGUAAUGGGAGAAGAUGAGUUGAUGUCGUCUAUUCCACCCCGCCGUGAGGGAGGCAUGCAGGCAAUGGAGGAUCUAAGAUUCGAAACUUGGGUGUCCCAACAUUAAACGUUCACGUUUUUUAAAGAAACAAAGUGCGGAGCGUGUUAAAAAAAUUCAUUUGAUCCAACUGAGGCAUUUUGUCGAACACUUAGUGGGUUUAUUGACGAAACCAGACCAAGUUGUUGCCUAUAUGUCAACAAGUUACGAUAUAUGCUAAAGCAAUCUGAAUAAUGCUAUCAAUAAUAUAUGUCGAGUGAUGUUGAUGUAGUCUGUCGAGAUAUGCGUACAUACCAAACAAUCAAAGGAUCUUCAGAGGAUCUUCAUAUGCGUGUUUUCCACCCUCCGAGUGGUCCUAAGACCACUUUGGUUCCAAUUUACAUCCACCCUUGCGGUGGGUGGAGUUCAAGAAUUCUUGUUGUUGUGUAGCUUUUUUUGCUUAUCCAUUUGUGUAUCUUAUAUUUUGUUUUCUUAAGUAAAUGACUAGGGGUGUGCUAUCCACACACUAUUUUUUACUUCUCACAUAUCCUCUUAAUUUUCGGUCGUUGGAUCAAAUGGAUUGAAGAAUAUCAAAUGACAAAAAUUAAAGGGGUGUGUGGAUAUCACACCCCAAAUGACUAAUGUUGAUGGGGAAAAAUAUGAUUGGCUAAUAACAUUUUGAUGUCAUAUAGUCAUCACAAUCUAAUAAUCUAGUCUCAUCUAAGACUAAUAUAUAGAAGUAAAGAUAAGUAUGUGAAAAACAUCUCAUCGUUAUAAGUUAAAGGGAGCUAAAGUGGUAUUUGAGAUUGGGAUAACUCUCACUUUAGUCCUGAUAAUAAAAAUCGAUAAAAAUGAUCCGGUCAUGAAAAUUAUUUUAUUUUUUCUGGAAAAAAAUCUGUCAAUCUUCUAAUAACUUUUUUAUGUAGUAUUCACCGAAAAGAAGAAGAAGAGGAAAGAAAGAGUUAUGAAACCUUUUUAUGUAGUAUUCACCGGAAAGAAGAAGAAGAAGAAGAAGAAGAAGAAGAAGAAAGAAAGAAAGAAUGUCAUAACUCAUAAUCCCAUCAUAGCCGAUUGCACCGCUGCCCUCCGCCGCCUCGCCCAACUCUAAAAUACCUUUUCGGCUAAGUCAAACCAGCAGCAGCACGCCUUAGCUUAAGGGUGGAAAAAAUUCCUAAAAAUCCCAAACCAAACCGAAAAAAUCGCAAUCCCAAACCAACAAUUUCCCAAACCGAAAUUUCAUUCGGGAUUGGCUUCUCUAUAUUUCGGGAAUCCCAUACCAAACCAAAAAUAUAUAUUAUUAAUUAAUAUAUAUAUAUACAUAUAUAUAUAUAUAUAUUAUAUAUUAUUCUUUUAUAAUUGAUGCUAGUUGACACACCCCGAUCCUGAAAUCAGGGCAUGCUAGCCGCCACGUGAGCGUGACGUAACCAUAAGUGCGAUACGGAAGCAAAGGGAAUAAGAAAUACGAAGGAAUAAAAACCAACUACUAGCAGUAUUAGAGUGAGUUAAAGUGUGCAAUACACGAUUUCAGAGCAUAAAAACUAGGUGUAGUCAAGUAGGACUAUAUUUAAAUUACAACACCCGCAGGUGAGUCCUACAUGCAGGAAGUCUGUCAGAACGUCAAAGAAAACCUCGUGAGCCACCAAUUGCUAACUAGAACCUGGAAGGGCGCAAAAACAAAAUUGAGCGGGUCAGUAAAACCAAAGUUUUCAAAAACAUUUCAUUUAAAACGUUUCUAACCCCUCGCUGUAAAACCUGUAUACUUCCCCAGAAAAAUAGUAUAUAAACAUAUAUAUAUCAUCAAAAGCUCAACUCACAAUCCUUCAUCGCUUUUCAGAAAGAAUAUGCCAUGCCAUGCCAAAAUAUAAUAAGAAUGUAUCAAUACAAAUCAGGUGAAAUAAUAAAUCAACCGGAGACCCUACAAUGGUCCUGUACGGCUGAUUCUAUAGCUCAAUAUCCCAUCCAGCCGGAGUCACCAACUGUGAUCUGUACGGCCCUGCCGAAGUCACCAACUGUGACCUGUACUGCACUACACUGCACUUAAGUCGGAACUACCUAUAGUAGUCUGUACGACUAUGAUGGUGAAUUAAUACGCUCUAGUGCUUCUCUCAUUAAUCAUCUGUGCAUAUAAUCUAAGGUCACCUACUAGUCGGAACCACCUCUAGUGGUCUGUACGACUAGCAUGUCGGAACCCUCACAUGGUCUAUACGACAUGCACCAACUUGGAUCCAAGGUGAGCGUGCGGUGCGGUGAAUAAUAUGAGCACUAACACCAGGGGUGUAGGUUAUGAGCUCUCAACACAAUUCACAUCAUCAAUGAUUCACAUGAAUAACAUAAAACUCACCUGAUACUCACCUAUGCGUCCACAGCACCAAUUCACAUAAAUAUGCAUCAAUUAUCAAUCCAUAUAAUUUAUAAUAUGCAUGCUUGGCAAUUGAAAACAUACUUUCAUAUAAAUUCAAUUUCUGGGAACAUUAAUAGUAUAUAGGUAAUACGAAAAACAAAACUGCCCACUCACUGGUAAGUCGAUGGGUCGUAACCCCCGUGAUGUCCCUGGAUGCGCUCGUCCUCGGGAUAGGUGUCACCUAUAUGCGAAACAACUAUAAAAAAGUUAAUUAAUGCACAUAACCGAUAAUUUGAAAUAACUUCUCAUACGGUGCUCAAUUUGGGUAUAUGAAUAUACCACAUCGACCUACUCGACGUCACGAACGUUGAGAAAGUUUUAGAAAUUUUUUUUGACGUGGCACGCGCCCCCACGCGCCAGGGCAGCACGGGUACAUGCGCCCCCCACGCGCGUCUUCUUCCUUGGUUCGCCGGACUGUGUUUUCCGGUGGCUGGAAAACUGGGGAUUUUUCAAUCCCCUUGUUCUCCCUCAUUUCUUAACCGUUUUCUUCGUAUUUUAUAUCAAUUUGAAGCCCUCAACAUGUAGAAUCAUGAUAGACUAGUUUCAAGGUCUAAAAUCCACUAGAUUUUACCUGAGAAAGCUCGAUAAUCCGGCCAAAUUUGAAAAACUCCGUUCUCAGUCCUUCAACGUCCAAAUUCUACCAACGAAGUACCCCGAAGCUCGUGAGGAUCUCCUUAAGCUCACUGUGAGCUUGAAAUUCCCUGAAAUGCAAGAUUUUACCUGUGCAUGAACAAUGCACAUUUUCGGGGUUAGGGUUUCACGACAAUUCUGAGGGUUUUAACUUCCACAAAUCACAUAUACGAACUCACAAGCUUACUAGGAGUUCAAAUCUUACCUUAGAACCUUCGAUCCGUGAAGAAAUGGGAGGUUCUUAGCUUGUCCGUACAAUUCGAGAGGGAGAGAGAGAGAAAGCCGUGAGGGAGGAGAGAGAGAAACACGGGGGAGGGAGAGAGGGAAGGAAGUGUGUGUGUGUGGUCUAUCACAACCCCUCACCAUCCAUUUCUUUUUCCUAACUCCCUAACCACAUAAAUUACAAACCAACAUUUUAAUCUCACUUAAGUUAUUUCCCAAAGCUUAUGAAAAUUUAGUCUAAAUAAUAUGUCACACACACACACAUACCUUAAUACCCGUCAAGGGUGAUUCCGCCAUUUCAUGUCCCCGAUAUAAAGAAUCAUAGGACGGGCUGUGACACUAGUAGUUUCUAAUUGAUGUCUUGUAUUUGUACCAUACUUUACCAAUACCGAAACUACUGAGCAUCGGUCAACGUUAUACCGUCAAGGACCUAGAAGAGUUUCCCUCCAACCAGGAGGCCAAUCACAGCGCGACACGUGUCGACAUCAGAAGCCAAUCAUAGCGCGACAUGUGUUAACAUCAGAAGCCAAUCACAACACAACACGUGUCAAUGUCAGAAUGAAACUAGAAACUCUCUUCUAUAAAUAGAGAUCAUUCUCUCACAAUAUUUCUGAAUGUCAUUUGUACUAAAUCAUUCAUUAGUACUCACUAAAGGAGAGCUUGAACUUAUGUACUUGUGUAAACCCUUCACAAUUAAUGAGAACUCUUCUACUCCGUGGACGUAGCCAAUCUGGGUGAACCACGUACAUCUUGUGUUUGCUUCCCUGUCUCUAUCCAUUUACAUACUUAUCCACACUAGUGACCGGAGCAAUCUAGCGAAGGUUACAAACUUAACACUUUCUGUUGUACCAAAGUCCUAAUUGAUUUUGUGCAUCAACAUUUGGCGCCGUUUGUGGGAACGACACUUAUUCCCACUAUCUUCAGCUUUGUCAAGCUGGUUUCCACCAUUCGUACACUCUCUUUUGACCAGGCAUCCCUCUCCAACAUGGGGAGCGAAUGAAGCCAUAACACACAGAAUGACACCCCUCUUGCACCUAGUGCGAAGCAACGAAAGAAGGAAGGAAAUAGGGUUGCUCUUUAAGCUAAAGUCUAUGAGCUAGAAGCUCAGAACAACAAGAUAGCAAUGAAGAAUGAGGUCCUCCAGGAGCAGUAUGAGAAGCUAUUUGAGACACUCCACGAAACUAGGCAUACUCAAACACGCGAGCUCGUUGCCCUUGUGGACAUCAACCAUCAUCUAGGUGCCCUCCAACACGGAAGAUUACCUUCCUUCGACAUGGGUAUCCCUGAUGAAGAGUGAGCUAAUCAUCAAAACAUUGAUCAACAUGAGACAUCUCUCAACCCAGCUGCUUCGACCCGAAGCAGGAGAAGUGGAGGAAGACACCUCCUUGCAGAAGGGUUGGAAUGAUCGAAAGCCGUUUAUCGUGACUGCUUAGACUUCCUAAAGCAACGUCGAAAGAAUCCCCUCCACAUAUGCUUGAAGAUCAAUGACCUAAGGGUUUCUGAAAGACUCGGUCUCCUCUCACGACCCAGGCCAUCUGCCAAUCUAGGGAAGGAACGACAGGUCCUAGAGGGACAUGAAGGUAUAGGGGACUCUGAAAUAUUCCGACAGACUAGCCUUAGAAGUCAGUACGGCGAGUCCAAGGAAAAAUCACACGCAUUUGCUCAAACUUUCCUACUUCCAAGAGGCGAUGGAGACUUACGAAAGAAAAUCCCAGUGGUACAUGACUCUACUCAGGACCCCCUUGUCCUACAGCUCCUUGAGGAAGUAAACAAGUUGAAGGCCGAACGUCAGGUUGAGAUACCUGAUUGGAACCAACCUAGGCCUGGCCCUCUCACAAGGAGGAUCCUCGACACCCCCUUCAAGCAAAGACAAAACAAAAGCUUGGUUUACAACUCUAUACUGGAAGGGAAGACCCAAUUGAACACCUUAACCUCUUUGAGUCCACCAUGGCAUAUCGGAUGCACACCGAUGAAGAACGAUGUCUUCUCUUCCCCUCCACCCUCUCUGGCGGAGCUCUAAACUGGUAUUGCCGUCUUCCACCUGAGACUCAUUUGAGGAACUGAGGAAACUGUUUGUCUCUCAACACAUCUUCCAGACCGAUCGCUUGCAUUCUGCAGAUGACUUGUACACUAUUCGCUAGAAGCCGGACGAGUCACUACGAGAGUAUGCCGGUCAUUUCAGCCAUGAGUAUUCUCGCUGUGCUGAGGCAGAUGACAAGACCGUCCUCAAGGCUUUCACGGUAGGCCUACGUGAUUGUUUCUUCAAGUACAUGAUCAAUGCCAACACUUAGAAGACUUACUCUAAGGUGAUGGCACAUGCUUACAACCAUGCCUCCGCCGAGGCAAUGACAUAUCAAGGGAAACCCCCCACAACCACCCAUUAUCAGCAAGUAGGGAGUGGAAGCCAGAUCAAACCAAAUGAGAAGACCUCGACCUUCCAAACGGCAACGGUGCCUCCCCCUACCUAACUUAAUACUUUGCCAAGUCAACAGACAUAUCAAUCUCAGGGCAAAAUGAAAGAUUUUCAUCAUCACCAGUCUCAUUUUAGUAAAAGGAGUAAGGGACACUACUGUGAUAACCAAGGGUAUCGCCAUGAUAAUCCCCGACCCCAGGCAGUCAACACAGUGGGUCAAGCACGUGUCAGGACAACCCCUACCCCGAGGUAUGAGGCAUACACACCUUUAAACACCACGUUCAUGGCCAUUUACCCCAGUAUAACACAUUUGAUAUCGAAGCCAAAGCCGAGGUACCCGGAUUACAAGCCCACGAUGAACACGAGCAUGUUUUGCUGUUACCACGAGCAUAACGGCCAUGACGGCGAGAAGUGUAUCACUCUUCGUGAUCAUAUUGAAGCUUUGGCACGUGAAGAAAAAAUUGAUCAAUUCCUCCUUCACCCUCCAAGGGGUAACCGUAACCAACGCUAGGUAAAUGUGAUAUAUUCCAUAAGUGGUGGCACACCUAUAUCUAAAUCUUCCAACAGGGCCAUGAAAAAUAGUGAAUGAAGUUUAAGGUCUGGCCAUCAAGUGUUUCACGAUGAAGACAUCAAGGGAGGUAAGUAUCAAAAGCCUAACUAGGAUCCAAUAUGUUUCUACCCUAAGGAAGAAAGAGGUAUCAUCUACCCUCACAACGACCCACUGAUCGUAGAAGCUCACAUAGCCAACUUUGAAGUACGACGAAUCCUGGUAGACACAGGAGCUUCGGUCAAUAUCAUGUUUGCUGAAGCUUUCAGGGCACUUAAUGUAGCUGAACACUUACUCGACCGUUCGAUUUCCCCUCUGAUAAGCUUCUCCGGUGAUAUCGUGCAACCUUUGGGGAGCAUACACUUACUUUUCACCAUUGGUACAGGCCCUUAUACAGCUACCAUUACCACUAACUUCCUGGUGGUUGAUUGCCUAACAACAUACAAUGUCAUCUCCGGACGCACAGGCAUCAAUGAUUUCAAGGCCAUGGUAUUCACAUAUAUGUUGUUGAUGAAAUUUCCAACCCCUUAUGGCAAUGGUUACAUCAAAGGAGAUCAACUUAGUGCACGAUCAUGUUACAACAUUUCGGUCAAGCAACAACACCUGCAUGUGCCCAAGGAAACCAUUUCUAUACAUGACCAAGUCAUAAAGACCAGCCCAGACAAAGCAAACUUAGAUCUUCACGGUGGCAAUAGUCAACCCGACGAUCCUCGAGAUGACUCUUUCACCCAGCAAGCACAACCCGCUGAAGAGUUGGAGAAGGUCUCUAUCUUAAAAGAUUAUCCGGAUCGCAUGGUGAAGAUUGGUACCACCUUGUCACCACCCAUUCAGUUGGCAUUGAUCUAUUUUUUGCAAGAGAACACUGAGGUCUUCGCCUGGUCAUACGAGGACAUGCUAGGCAUCUCUCAUGAUAUAAUCUAUUAUCGUUUAAGUAUUGACCCCAAGACUAAGCCAAUGAGACAGAAGCGAAGAUCUUAUGACGCUGAACGGUACGAGGUAAUGAAGCCAGAAGUUGAAAAACUCAAAGGCAUAGGCUUCGUCCGUGAAGUCAAUUAUCCAACGUGGGUAGCAAAUGUUGUCUUUGUUAAGAAGAAUCCGACCAAGGAAAAUCUCAUACUCCAAAAGGUUGCCCGAAUGACAUCUUUCCUCUUCCUCUCAUAAACAGACUUAUAGACUCUACGGCAGGGUGUGAACUCUUGAGCUUCAUGGAUGCUUACUCAGGAUACAACCAAAUCCUCAUGAACCCUCCGGACCAAGAACACAAAGCCUUCACUACUGAUAGGGGACUAUAUUGCUAUAAAGUCAUGCCUUUCAGCCUAAAGAAUGCAGGAGCGACUUAUCAGAGACUGGUCAAUUCAAUGUUCACCGAACAGAUUGGGAAGAGCAUGGAAGUUUACGUUGAUAAUAUGCUAGUCAAAAUCAAACAUGCUGACCAACAUAUCACCAACCUAUCUGAAACUUUCACCAUCCUGAAAAGGUAUCGAAUGAGGUUGAACCCCAACAAAUGUGCCUUAGGCGUAUGCUCUGGCAAAUUCUUAGGCUUCAUGAUAAGCCAACGAGGCAUUGAGGCUAACCCGAGAAGAUCAAAGCAAUCCUCGACAUGAAGGAACCGGUAACUUCAAAAGACAUCCAGAACCUUACUAGCAAGGUGGCAGCCUUAACUAGGUUCAUCUCUAAGGCCACAAACAGAUGCGCUCCUUUCUUCAAAGCACUUAAAGGAAGUAAGAAGUACAUUACAUGGACUGAUGAAUGUGCUGAGGCAUUCAAGAACCUCAAAGACUACAUAAGUAAAGCCCAUUUGCUCUCCAAACCUGAGGUUGGUGACACUCUCAUUAUCUAUCUGUUGGUAUUGGCUUCAGCAGUAAGUUUCGUUCUCAUUCGAAAUGAUGGUAAUGUCGAACGGCCUGUCUACUACACUAGCAAAGCCUUACAAGAUGCGGAGACACGAUACUCCAACAUUGAGAAAUUGGCUCUAGCAUUGGUCAUGUCUGCUCGAAAACUUCGCCCUUACUUCCAAGCACACUCCAUCAUCGUGCUUACCAAUCAUCAUCUUCGAUAAAUACUCUAAAGUCUUGACACUUCCGGGCGAAUGAUCAAAUAGGCAAUAGCAUUGGGUGAGUUUGACAUCUCCUACCAACCAAACCCAGCUGAGAAGGGCCAAUCAGUGGCAGACUUCAUAUAUCCUGUUGACAUUGUUUCUACACCUAAAGAAGUGGUUUCAUUACCCUCGGAAGCUCAGAAAAUAGAACCAACAGCCCCAGCAUGGAGUCUAUAUGUUGAUGGCUUGUCCAACCAACAGGGUUGUGGAGCAGGACUAGUCCUUACGACCCCUGACAAAGUGGCGAUAGAGUAUGCUCUUUGUUUCAAAUUCAAGGCGUCGAACAAUGAGGCCGAAUAUGAAGCCCUUCUAGCAGGCUUACGUUUGGCCAAACACCUUGGGGUUAAACGAAUUGAUAUCUUCAGUGACUUCCAAUUGGUGGUUAACUAGGUCACCAACAACUUUGACGCUAAAGAUAGCUCAAUGGCAGCAUAUCUGGCAUAACACAAUUGUUGCUCAAGCACUUCCACUACCAGAUCACCCAAAUUCCUUGAGCGGCAAACAGUCAUGCAGAUGCUUUGGCUCGCCUCGCCUCAGUGGUGGAAGACAAGAUUAGGAGAAAAAUUCAGGUCAAAUUGUUAGCAGCACCAAGCACCAUGGCUGCGGAAGUGUACAACUUACAACAAGGAGAUAGUUGGAUUACCUCGAUUUAUAUAUUCCUUGCUCAUGGCACCCUUCCAAAUGACAAAGUCCAACAUAAGCAGAUUCGAUACAAGGUUACCCGUUACUUGAUCAUUAAUGACCAACUCUACAAGCGGGGAUUUAACCUACCAUACCUAAGAUGCCUUACGCCCGCAGGGGCCGAAACUGUCCUUUGGGAAAUACAUAAAGGAGUCUGCGGAGAUCAUGCUAGAUCUUGAUCCCUAGCACACAAGGCUUUUCGCCAAAGAUAUUACUAGCCAACACUCCACCAAGAUGCCAUCAGAAUAUUCCGCUCAUGUGAUAAGUGUCAACGCUACGCAACUAUUCCUCACUCCCCUUCCAAGCCACUCACUCCUAUGAUCAGCCCUUGGCCCUUCGCCCAAUGGGGACUUGAUUUGAUCAGCCCAAUGCAUGUAGGGAAGGGCAAGGUUCGCUAUGCAAUCGUUGCAGUUGACUACUUCACAAAGUGGGCCGAAGUAGAACCCUUGGCAACCAUUACAGAGGUAAAAAUAAAAGACUUCGUAUGGAAGAACAUCCUUUGCAGAUUUCGCAUUCCCAAUGCGAUAGUCACUGACAACGGGCAACAGUUCGACAACAAUAAGUUCAGGAUGUUCUGCUCUAAGUUCAACAUCAACUUAUGUUUUGCCUCCCCAAUUCAUCCCCAGUCUAAUGGACAAGUUGAAGCCAUCAACAAAAUAAUCAAGCGAACUUUGAAAACCAGCUUGGACAAGGCUAAAGGUUGUUGGCCAGAAUUUGUACCCCAAGUUCUUUGGUAUACCGCACUUCGUAUCGGACAUCAACAGGAGAAACCCCAUUCUCACUUGCCUUUGGUACAGAGGCAGUGGUCCCAGUUGAGCUUGAUCAAGCAAUGUUCUGAGUCCAGAACUACGUCCAAAGUGAAAAUGACAAACAACUUACCUUCAACUUAGAUCUAGUCGAGGAACACAGAAACCAGGCUCACUUGAGGAAUGUCGCCUACAAGCAGCACAUCUCCGACUACUAUGACUCAAGGGUCAAACCUCGUUCUUUCAAAGUGGGGGACUGGGUAUUGAAGAAAAGAUUACUCUGCGAUAGAGUCCCAAGUGAAGGAAUACUUAGUUCAAACUGGGAUGGACCGUUUGAAGUUGUUGGCAUCAAUCACCCUGGCUCUUACAAGCUUAGAAGCUUCGAUGGCAAGACCCUUAGCCAUCCAUUGAACGUUGAUCACUUAAAGUACUAUGACAAGUAAACUCACAUUGUACAAGUGUUAAGCUUCAGCCGUUCGUCAUCCUAUGUAACGAAGACUAUUUGGCAUGAAUUCAAUAAAAAGGUGAUUUAGACAACUCGAUCCUAAUCCUCUUACAUUCCUAGCAAUGAAACACUCGGGUUCAAAGCUUCAACAUGAAUACUUCCAACAUGAAACAAAGUCUAAGUAUAUGUCAACAAGACUAUACAAAUAAACGAACAACUUCACAGUAUAUUCGUUCAAUCAUACAUUCUAACACAUUCAUACAUAAGCCAACUGUGCUUUGAAAGGGUUCAACAUAUUUUGUGUCAUUCGACACUUGCUACAAUGUGCCUAGACAUCUUGCCCUUAUUCUUACCAACCAAGUGAUGAAAUGUGAAGAAGGAACUCAUCUUCAUGCCACCAACUAGGUGAUGAAAUGUACAACCCGUACUCUCCUUUAUGCCACCAACCAGGUGAUGACAUGUACAACCCAUACUCUAAUAUCAUUUAGCAACUUGCCACUCAUGCCAACAACCAGGUGAAGAAGGAACUCAUCUUCAUGCCACAAACUAGGUGAUGAAAUGUACAACCCGUACUCUCCUUCAUGCCACCAACCAGAUGAUGAAAUGUACAACCCGUACUCUAAUAUCAUUUGGCAACUUGCCACUCAUGCCACCAACCAGGUGAAGAAUGAACUCAUCUUCAUGCCACCAACCAGGUGAUGAAAUGUACAACCCGUACUCUCCUUCAUGCCACCAACCAGGUGAUGAAAUGUACAAUCCGUACUCUAAUAUCAUUUGGCAACUUGCCAUUCAUGCCACCAACCAGGUGAUGAAAUGUACAACCCGUACUCUAAUAUCAUUCGGCAACUUGCCACUCAUGCCACUAACCAGGUGAAGAAUGAACUCAUCUUCAUGCCACCAACCAAGUGAUGUAAUGUACAACCCGUACUCUAAUAUCAUUUGGCAACUUGCCAUUCAUGCCACCAACCAGGGGAAAAAAGAAUUCACCUUCGUACCACCAACCAAGUGAUGAAAGCAACUCACCAUUCAUUCCACCUACCAAAAGACGAGUGGUACAACUUGUACAUGUAAACUCCUAGCAUUCACAAAUAAUCAAAAACCCUCAAGCUUGACAACUCAACUAAAGGAGCACUUAUGCCCAACAAGAGUUAUAGUCACCAACAAAGUCUUAUUGCAAGCCAACAACAACUUCAAUGCAUGGUAUACGAAGAUCAAGCUAUUCAGCCCUCUUGCAUCUACUUCAAACAUUUCCCCUCUGUAAUAAUGCAAACACUACAACUCGUAGAAAGCUUCACACACUCUUUAUCAAGACAGUGUGAAGCAAAACCAAUUUAUGGUGCCAACAAGAGCUUCAUCAAUGGAGGGCAACCAUAAUUCUCAAAAGCUUCACACACUCUUGAUCAAGACAGUGUGAAGCAAAACCAAUUUAUGGUGCCAACAAGAGCUUCAUCAAAGGAGUUCAACCACAAUUCUUAAAAGCUUCACACACUCUUGAUCAAGACAGUGUGAAGUAAAACCAAUUUAUGGUGCCAACAAGAGCUUCAUCAAUAGAGGGUAACCACAAUUCUCAAAAGCUUCACACACUCUUGAUCAAGACAGUGUAAAACAGAACCAAUUUAUGGUGCCAACAACAAGAGCUUCAUCAAUGGAGGGCAACCACAAUUCUAAAAAACUUCACACACUCUUGAUCAAGACAGUGUGAAGCAAAACCAAUUUAUGGUGCCAACAAAAGCUUCAUCAAAGGAGUUUAACCACAAUUCUCAAAAGUUUCACACACUCUUGAUCAAGAAAGUGUGAAGCAAAACCAAUUUAUAGUGCCAACAAGAGCUUCAUCAAUGGAGGGCAACCACAAUUCUCAAAAGCUUCAUACAUUCUUGAUCAAGACAGUGUGAAGCAAAACUAUUUUAUAGUGCCAACAAAAGCUUCAUCAAAUGAGUUCAACCACAAUUCUCAAAAGCUUCACACACUCUUGAUCAAGACAGUGUGAAGCAAAACCAAUUUAUGGUGUCAACAAAAGCUUCAUCAAUAUAGGGCAACUACAAUUCUCAGACCUUCGGAGCAAAUUCAAUUUAUAUGGUUCAUCCAAACCUUCGGCUACUACAAGGUGUGGCUUGCAUCACAAUCUCUUGCUCAACAGUGUGGAAGCAAAAUUUGUAUAUGUUAUCUUUCCCACAUUUUCAAAUUUCUAGUUUCCCAAAAAAAAAAAAAAGGGAAAUUCAACAAAGCUUCAUCAAUGGAGGACAACUACAAAUUCUCAAAAACUUCACACUAUCUUGAUCAAGAUAGUGUGAAGCAAAAUCAAUUCAUGAUACCCAACAAAAGCUUCAACUCCAAAGUUUCACCUACAAAGCUUCAACUCCAAAGCUUCACCUACAAAGCUUCAACUCCAAAUCUUCACCUACAAAACUUCAACUCCAAAGCUUCACCAACAAAAGCUUCAUCAAUGGAGGACAAUUACAAAUUCUCAAAAGCUUCACACUAUCUUGAUCAAGAUAGUGUGAAGCAAAAUCAAUUCAUGGUAUCCAACAAAAGCUUCAACUCCAAAGCUUCACCUACAAAACUCCAACUCCAAAGCUUCACCUACAAAAACUUCAACACAAAAGUUUCACCCACAAAAGCUUCAACACAAAAGCUUGACCCACAAAAGCUUCACCUACAAAAGCUUGACCCACAAAAGCUUGACCCACAAAAGCUUCAUCCAUAAAAGCUUCACCCACAAAAGCUUCACCUACAAAGCUUCAACACAAAAGCUUCACCUACAAAAGCUUCACACUAUCUUGAUCAAGAUAGUGUGAAGCAAAAUCAAUUCAUGGUGCCCAACAAAGCUUCAACCUCAAAGCUUCACCUACAAAGCUUCAACACCAAAGUUUCACCUACAAAGCUUUAAAAUAUAUAUAUAUAUAUAUAUAUAUAUUUUUUCGGAAAUUCAAAAAUUCAAAAAUUCAAAAAUUCAAAAAUUCGAAAAAAUUCAUGUGGUGGGAACAAAGUAGCUGCGACACCGAAUUCUGUAGGAAGUACUAUGUGAUUCAAUCAGUUGUACAUUAAAUAUUAUUUUCUCUAUUUUUAAACACGUUUAAAAUAUUUUAAGAGGCGUGUAAUGUCAGUUCUAAUCAAGGUCUUUGACACGUGCAUAAUAAUGUGAUUAAAUUAGUUGUCAAAUAAUUAGUUUUUUUUUUUAACAAACGAUAUUAUCUACACUAAGGGAAGGAGUGGUGGGCUUAGCCUCAUAAUGGGCUAGCAAUAAUAUGAUUCAAUCAGUUGUUUAUUAAAUAUUAUUUUCUCUAUUUUUAAUGUAAAUUCAAUAGAAACCGAAUGUAGCUGUUUUGAUUGGUUUAUAAUAUGUUUCUUCUAGCAUGAUUUAAGAUUAUUCUUUUAUUUCAAAUAUUUAACUUUUCUUUUGUCAAUUUACGCAUAUAAAUACAUUUAAAAUAUGUAAAUCGCACGUAUCACGCUAUGAUUCGAAAAACAUCUUGUACACGCGUACAAUAAUAGAGUUGUACAAACUGCCGUACAAUAAUAGAGUUGUAGUUAUUUGAGGGCACUGUCCAAGCACUCACUGUCCAAAGAGCACGAUGGUCCACAAUUUAAUUUCUUUUGAUUUUGUGCUUGACGUGUUCCAAAAGAAUGAGAUCCCAAUUUUUGAAACUACAUAAUCUUAAAUUUUUUUAGUGCUAAGUAAUUAAUUGGUUUAAUAAUAAAUAAAUAAAUAAAAAUGACAAGUAAGUGACAGUUAUCCAUCAUUUUCGAGCCCGAAGAGGCUAUGGGGAAGAAUCGGGUCGGGUAGAUCGGCAUGGAUUCAUUUAGCUCCAUGAAGAAGAAGAAUCUUCAGGUGACAAGGAGGUGCAGUGAGAAAUUACUCAAACCCCUUUGAAGUUAUUAAAAUUUAUGCAAUUGAAUUUUUUGAGUUUAAAUAUUUGAUGAGGAGACUAGAAUUUUCCAUAUAGAAGAAUUCGACACAACGCCUCUUUCUUCUAUCAAUUAAUAUUUUAUUUACGUGUAAAAAAAAAUUAUUUAAGUUUGCUUAUCUAGAUUUAAUACGAAGAUUCAUAUGAAAAAAAACCCUCCUGGGCAAUUUAAUUUUCAGGAGUGUACAUAUGUGUGUAUAAAUCAAUAGAAAACUUCAUUUUAAUCCUUAAAAAAGAUGAGUUUUAGACUAUAACCUUGUGUAAGAUUAAAAUCCAAUUUAGUCCCUAGUACAUUUAAUCAUCUCAUUUAUUAGUUAUAUUUUGAUGUUUUAUUUAUCUUUUUAUUCAUAUUUUAAUGUCUACAUUUAGGCAACUAAUUUUUUUUUUAUAAUAUAUAGUCCGAUAACAAUUUUGUAUGUUCUUCAUUUAGGUACGUUAAUAUAUUUGAAUAUUUCGGUAUAUCCAUCGAUACAAACAUAUAUGUACAUUAAUUCAUCGAUACAAACAUAUACAUACAUUUUGGUACACACAUUUGAGUUUUUAUUUCUUUAUUUUUUUAUUUUUUUAUUUUUUUAUUUUUUUAUUUUUUUAUUUUUUAUAGUGCAACUGACACACCUCGACCGAAGUCAAGACAUGCUGGCCGUCACGUGAGCAUGACGUAGCCAUGUGCACAGUGCGGAAGCGAUAUUUAUAAGGAAAGUACGAAUAAUUCAAAAGCUUCCUAUGAGCUUAAAAACCCCUAAAAAUCACUCAAUAAUUAUUGCAUGAACAGUGACCAUAACGGAGGUAAGUGGUUUGACGUGAAAACGGUGGACUUCUUACCUGAAACUAGUAUGGAUGGACUUGUAUCGACGAGAUGAAGACGAUGGUGGUCUUUGUUUCCUCGAUCUGUGAAGUUUUGAAGGUCCUUGGUGAUGGUCCGUGUGUAGAGAGAGAGAGAGAGCUCGAAGGGAAUAGAGAGAGUGAGUUUGAGGGAAUCACGGAAAAGAAGAAGAAAAAGGGGUGAUUUCUGUGUAUCCCGUGAGUGUAUGUGGUCCACAAGCCACAAUCAUUCAAACACAAACAAACAAAAUGCCAAAAUCAACCAACUUUUAAAAAUUAGGGUAACUAGAUAAACCCUAAUACUCUAAAUAUUUAAAACGCUCAAGGCAUUUUAUUAACUUCACACUCACGAAAAUGAUAAUACGGGACGGGCUGUCACAACAACGAUAUAUUUUACACUAAGACGGCUAAGCCACAUGGACAACUUAAUUUGGUAUCGAAUUCAUCAUCCACGAGAUUCGAACCUAAUACCUCUCAUUUGAGUAUUGAUUUUUAGGUACAUUAAUUCAAUAUACUAUAUUUUGGUACAUACAUUUCAGUACGUACAUUUUGGUACAUACAUUUCGGUAUUAAUAUUUAGGUACAUUAAUUCAAUAUAAUACAUUUCGGUUAAUACAUUUCGGUACAUACAUUUCGGUACGUAUAUUUUGGUACAUAUAUUUCGGUACGUACAUUUCGAUACUGUAUUUCGGUACGUACAUUUUGGUACAUACAUUUCGGUAUUAUAUUUAGGUACAUUCAUAUAAUACAUUUCGGUACAUAUAUUUAGGUUCAUUAUAAUAUAUUUCGGUACAAUCAUGUAGGUACAAAAAAGUCAAUUAUAUAUAUUUCGGCACAGUACAAUCAUGUAUUUAUAUAUUUUGUAUCACAAAUUUCUUUUAAUAUUUUCUUAUUUAUGUUCAUUUAUAAUUAAAGAACUAAAUAUAUGCAUAUUAAUAAAAUUAAAAUUUAAUGUGGAGAGAUUAAAUAAAAAUGCACAUUAAAUAAAAAAAAUUGAAUAUAAAUUUUGAUAAGAGUACACUUCAAGGGAUUAAAUUGAAUAUGUAAUCUAACACUAAUUUUUUUUUUAAAUUUUAAUCUUUUGCAAGGACUAAUGUUCAAAAACCCUAUAAAUCAAUUUCACGUCGGCAGAGCUGCUAUGGGGACCUCCGUACACACACAUAAUUUAUUCAUUCGGUCAUCAGCUCAGGAACCUCUCUGUAAACUUCUCCACACACUCCAGUACCUCUCUCUCUCUCUCUCUCUCUCUCUCUCUCUCUCUCUCUCUCUCUCUCUCUCUCUCUCUCAUCUUCUCCACUCCCCACUCUUCUCAGUUUUGGCAACGACUAAUGAUAGCCAAUAAUUUAUUCAUUCAGUCAUCAGCUCAGGAACCUCUCUGUAAACUUCUCCACACACUCCAGCUACCUCCCCCCCUCUCUCUCUCUCUCUCUCUCUAUCAUCUUCUCCACUCCUCACUCUGUUAGUUCUAUACAACUCAUCCAUCGCUUGGGGACUGACCUUGGGCUUUUCAGUUGCCAAGCAACUCCAGCAUCCGUUCUGAUCAAACUCAAAGUUGUAACUAAGGAGUUUGGAGAAAAUAAAAAGAUGAUCAAGGUUGACGUAAUUCACAAAGAAAUUAUUAAACCAUCCUCUCCAACUCCUCACCACCUUAGACAUUUGUGCCUCUCCCUUUUUGACCAGUUUAUACUUGAACUGUAUAUGCCACAAGUUCUCUUCUAUCCUAGCAGCAGUGAUGAACAUUCUUUGGUCGCUGAAAAGUCCGAGCUUCUAAAGAAAUCAUUAUCUGAGGCCC
This 18850-nucleotide long non-coding RNA is filed under the name Malus domestica (apple). Its description in RNAcentral is "long non-coding RNA (MDOM_LNC013623)". Lineage: Eukaryota; Viridiplantae; Streptophyta; Magnoliopsida; Rosales; Rosaceae. The record is from RNAcentral.